GACGAACGCUGGCGGCGCGCCUAACACAUGCAAGUCGAACGAGCGAGAGAGAGCUUGCUUCCUUAAUCGAGUGGCGAACGGGUGAGUAACGCGUGAGGAACCUGCCUCAAAGAGGGGGACAACAGUUGGAAACGACUGCUAAUACCGCAUAAGCCCACAGCUCGGCAUCGAGCAGAGGGAAAAGGAGUGAUCCGCUUUGAGAUGGCCUCGCGUCCGAUUAGCUGGUUGGUGAGGUAACGGCCCACCAAGGCGACGAUCGGUAGCCGGACUGAGAGGUUGAACGGCCACAUUGGGACUGAGACACGGCCCAGACUCCUACGGGAGGCAGCAGUGGGGAAUAUUGCACAAUGGGGGAAACCCUGAUGCAGCGACGCCGCGUGGAGGAAGAAGGUCUUCGGAUUGUAAACUCCUGUUGUUGAGGAAGAUAAUGACGGUACUCAACAAGGAAGUGACGGCUAACUACGUGCCAGCAGCCGCGGUAAAACGUAGGUCACAAGCGUUGUCCGGAAUUACUGGGUGUAAAGGGAGCGCAGGCGGGAAAGCAAGUUGGAAGUGAAAUCCAUGGGCUCAACCCAUGAACUGCUUUCAAAACUGUUUUUCUUGAGUAGUGCAGAGGUAGGCGGAAUUCCCGGUGUAGCGGUGGAAUGCGUAGAUAUCGGGAGGAACACCAGUGGCGAAGGCGGCCUACUGGGCACCAACUGACGCUGAGGCUCGAAAGUGUGGGUAGCAAACAGG
This 735-nucleotide ribosomal RNA is filed under the name uncultured bacterium. RNAcentral's name for it is "bacterial SSU rRNA". It matches the Rfam family "Bacterial small subunit ribosomal RNA", at positions 28 to 776 of the family's 1533-position model. The record is from RNAcentral.